Long non-coding RNA from Erpetoichthys calabaricus (reedfish), 707 nucleotides. RefSeq lists it as uncharacterized. The transcript has 2 exons. The record is from RefSeq and is a predicted model, not a curated record. Lineage: Eukaryota; Metazoa; Chordata; Cladistia; Polypteriformes; Polypteridae.
UGGUAGCAAAGAGAAGAGCCAUCAUAAAAUUAGUACACCAAGGAAGACUGGAUUUGGCAAAAGUAUACGUGUACACGCUCCAAGUGGAAACUACUUUGACUGUGAAGGUCAAGGAGGGUUUUACAUCUUUUAUAAUUUUGGUGCUGGUGGCCAGGUCAACCUCGUGCUGCAGGCUUUAUGAGAAUGACACAGACCAUUUGGAUAGUGCUGUUUGUGUUCAUGGGCAUAUUAGCUGGACAUCCUCCACAUUGCCUACAUUUACAUCCUGAACCUCGGAACGGUAAGGUAUGUGCCCAGCUGGUCAUUGCCUCUUGUGCUUACAGCUUCACAGUGUUGGAUGGAGAGAGACAGCAGCUCCAGAAGAAUGAAUUUACAACAUAUUUCACAUCUGUGUCAGUUGAAAGUGGUUGCCUCCUCACCUUGAGACUGAAACAUUUGGGCCCUCAACCUUUUGAAUCUUUUGAUGUCUUUACUACUGGCACCCAUACGGAUCUGGGAUCAGUGGCUGACAGCACCCUAAGAGAGUUUAGCUGCAGUUGCAGACUGCUUGGUCGGGUGAAGAGAACUGAGAAAUUGCUCAAAAACUUUAAGUAAAGAGAGACCCUGGCACAGACUCUCAGUUCUCGACUCAAGCGAUGAAGGAAAGACAUGUUCUACAGAGCAAAAGAAACAUCUUUACUUAAUAAAUGGAUAUGAUUUCAAACAUA